Molecule: long non-coding RNA, 4272 nt
Organism: Monodelphis domestica (gray short-tailed opossum)
Lineage: Eukaryota; Metazoa; Chordata; Mammalia; Didelphimorphia; Didelphidae
Source: RefSeq, a predicted model, not a curated record
CAACUACAAUACAAAGGUCAGCUGUAUUACUGACCAUUCCGAAACUUCAAUCUUCACUUAUCCGCUCAUGUCCAGCAACCCACUGCCCAGCAAAUCAGGCUCUGGGGAUAUGGACUAGCUUCAAUUCUGGAGGCGACUUCCCCAGAUCUUAUCUCUUUGGCUUGGCUGCCCCCCAAAAGAGGUAUAUUGACCCCACCACCACCACCACCUAGCAAGUAGAAAUUCUGGAAGAUAGGAUGGAGAGGAACCCAGCAGUAAUGGGUCUCCUUUGAUGUUACCUGGAAGAUACAAGAAAGACUCUCAGGAAGGAAGCAGUGAGUGAUUAUAUAUAAGUCUAGCUAUGAUGAAACACUUUCCAAAGCAAGUAAAGCACAAAAUUAACUAAAGAAAGACAAGCAUGACAACAAAAGAAUGGAAAGCAGGAGAUCUUCCAACAAGACAGCUGAGAGGUGGUGUAUGAGCCUAGCUCCAUCUAUCAUAAUAAACUCACUAUAACAUGCUAUCUAUAGAAAAUGAAUAAUAACUAACGAUGUGCCAAGAAAGAAAUCACAGCUGAAAAUCGGAUUUCUAGGGGAAAAAAUGAGCAAAAGAAGAUUCAAUACAAUAAUGAUGCACUGAAAGAAACUGACUAGCAAAACUGAAUGAAAUUUCAAAAUAAGAAAAAAAAAAGUUUAGAUCCUCAAUUUUUCAAAUAGAUCUGAAAUCUCAUAGCAUUCCUUCUAAAUGUAAUGGGAAAGAUGUAUAGAUGGAUAGUCUCUGCCUAGUUUCAGUCAUUGAAACAUAGAUAAUUACUCUCUCUCUCUCUAACUGAUUCCAGUCCAAAUACACAGAAACUUUUGGGUGCUGGUUUCCAGUCAUAAGUGAUUCAGAAAUUGAACCCAUUUAAUGAAUUUUCUAAUUGGCAACAAAAGCAGAAGCGCCAAGUUGCUGAGUUUGAACCAAGUGUGCAUAUAAAAGGAGCAUUCCUUCUGUCUCAGAACCUUUCCUUGGUGGCUGUAAGAGGGCAACACUGUUCAGAGAUACCAGAGAGAAAGGAAGACUUCUCUUUAUCCCACCCAGCUGCUAGCUGCCCAUCAGUGCAUGGACCUUUGGUUUCCUUUACGUUUACUGUUUCAUGAUUUUAUAUGAACAAGUAUUCUGAAAAUGAGAGGACCCAAGUGACCUGGUGAAUUCAACAGUUUCAUCAGAGGUGUCUCCAGCAACUCAAGUCAAGAGGAGAGUCCACCAGAGCUGGUAGCAGUAGGCACAGGAAACCAGGUGAAUGAGCAGCAACCUUGCGAUGGACAUACUUAAGGACAUGCUCAAUGCAAGCUCUGCAAGGAUACAUUUAUAGGGUGAGAAGACUGUGGGAUUCAAUCAAUCAGUCAUAGGCAUAAGCCAGAUAUGGACAAAUCCUAGAAACCUCUAUUGACUCAAUCAAUCAAUUAAAAGCAUUUCAACUAGGUACAACAAAAGUCUUGGUUGAGGGGCUUGGUUACAAUCAGUGGACACAACAUAAAACAAGCAAGGUUCUUUGAAAUCAAGAAUUUGAGUGUCUGGGAUCUCAGUGAUGGAAGCCAUCAGUCAGUCCUUGAGAAGGAAAGGCUUACUAAUAAGGAGGAGAAAAGCCCCAACCUUGGCUAUAGUCUCCUUAUCUUGAUGCCAACCCCCACCCCAAAUCCCAAGCAGGAAGAGGACCUUGUAAACUUGAGAGAAUUAGAAGAUUUGGAACUUUCAUUAGCUUUGGAAGUCUCAGUUGAUACAAUGUUUAUAUCAGGAACAACAAACUCAACAUUGAAGAAAGAUAGCUUCAAGUAUCUCCAAGGAUCCAAAAAGAGGAACAAUACCAUGCCUAAGAGGAACUUCAUGAGUACAAUUACUCCACAAAAGGAAGGAAAAAGAUCUGGUGACUGGGACCUACAAAAUCAUCACUGCCUGAGCCUAUUUCACCUUUCUGGAUACACGAAAGAGCGUGUCAGAAACUUUGGGGGAGAACGUUUUAUACCAUGUGGUAUUAUAUCACUGCAGAAAACAUUUCUUUCUAAAGAUCAAUUAAGUCUAGUUGACCAAUUGUUAUCAAGUGAUAAUCAAUGCACAGUGGUAAGGGCUCAUGAAUUAUGAGCAAUAAAAAAAGCAACCACUACUCCCAAUCUUGCUGAGUUAUCCUCAGAACCUAGUGAGAAAAAAGUAACCAACCCAGCUCUGAGGAUACACUCUACCAAUGGAAGUAGAGGUCAGAAAACCAAUUCUAGAUUUUGACCAAGUUUCUAUUUGGGUGAAUUAAUAGAGUAUAAAGACAACAUCUCUGCAAUAAAAGACUUUUACCUCCAGUAGCAUUGAGUACCUUCUUGAAACUUAUCAAAACUUAUCAAAACAAUUUGAGUAAACUUUCAUAUGAGAAAUUAUCCAGUAAGAAUUGGCAGAGGAGAGUAAUUAGUGAAUCCCUUACUCAGUAUACUGAAGAAACUAUCCAUCAACCUGAUAACAAUAGAGAAGUCUGUUGUAUUUCCAGACCUUGUAUCCAAAACAUAACAGAGAAUCUCCCAAGGUUUGUCAAAACAACAACCACUCACCUUCUAAUGACUCCGGUAAGCAUAAAUUAUAUUAAAGGAAAACCUCAACAACAUUGUAAUGAACUCUCAGACAAGGAACUAAGGAACAGAGGGAUUUGCUGUUGCUCAUUGGAAGCAACAUUUAAAAAAGAGACAAGCAGUUUUGUAAAGUUAAAAGAUGAGAAAAUAGCAUCUGUGAAUUAGAUUUGGAUUUCUGGACCAUGUCUUAAAAUAUAGGAAUUGCACACUACUAACAAAGGCUUCAUUUACUAGUGCCUUGCAAAUCAGAUAAAAAUUAACUAAACUAAAAAGAAUGGAAGAAAAAAAAAGCUGAUGUAUCAAUAUCCAAUAACUCCAAGGAUUAUAUUUUAUAAGAUUUAUUAAUAAUCACUUGAAAUAGAAGAAAAAAGAAAUAGAUGUAAAACCUGAAUAAAACUCUCCUGCCUCUCACUCCACCUCCACAAACCAUGAUGGGGGAAGGGGGAAAAGAGAGAGAGGAGGUGGAACUACACAAAACUUAUAUCCUUUCUAUGUUAGCAUGUAAUGUGAGAAGGAACAUGGGAAGCUGUGAUUUAGAGUCCUGGGCAAAAUCUAAUUACACAUGUAUAUUCACCAAGUUAGAUGCAACACAGAGUAGCUACAACAAAAGAAAUUAAGGUACCUAAAAACUUACAAGACACAAAUCUAAGAGAGAAAUAAGAAGUAAAGCACAUGGCCUCAAAUAUCUCUACACAAUUACCUGAAGUUUAGGUCACAAACAUGAUGAACAAGAGAUACUGAGAGUCAAGUUUUGCCUCACUGAGAUAUGGUGGGAUGAACAUCCUAAUUAGAUUUGUUUCUGGGUAUAUGCACCACAUUAAAAAUGAACAAAGUAUGUAAAAAAGGAGGGGGGCCUUGUAGAUACCAAGAAUAUAUUCUUAUGAGGGAAUCCAGGUAGAAGCAAUGGAUGAAAUUCUUGGAUGAAGAUUAUUGAAGGAAGAUAUAGAAGCAAUUUUGUCAAUGGACCACAAUACAGACCAUCUAGUCUGAAAAAAAAAAGGAAAAAAGAGGAGUUUGGGGAUCAGAUCCCAAGCCUGGCACAGAAAUAAUAUGGCAGUGCCAGUACACUUCAAUUAUCCAGAAAAAUGGAUAAUCUUAUAGAACUGUCUCUCUACCAAAGGCAGUCUCUCAGUUUGCUGAAAUGAUGAUUUAAUCCUCAAAAGUAGAAGAAUCAACAAAUUCAAAUUCUAUUUUGUAUUUGAUUUUUCCUAACAAAGACAUUGAUUGCUGGAGUGGAAAUUAUAGCAGCCUGGGGGAGGAAACACUAUACCUCAUAAAGUUUGUGAUAGAAGAGUGCAAAGCUAGGAUCUUAGAUCCAAGAAGGGCAGGGAGUUGAGAAGAAGAAUUUGUCUUUUAGAGAUUCAAGAGCUAAUCAGUGUUUUCUGUCCUUUUCCCACCAUUUAGUAGUAAGUGCUCUCUAAAUGGAUAUUAUUUGAUAAGUUUGCCAGAAUACCAGAGAAAGGAAAGUGAGUACUCACAGUAAAUCGAGGUAUCCAAGUGAGUUUUAGUGAAGGCAUUUUUAAAGAUAUCUGAGACUCUAAGGCUGGAAACACAGACAUUACAAUUCUUUCAAAUGUUUCUAGGAAAAGUGCUUCUAGAAUGAAUUUCACACCAUUUUUACCACAGAGCACCAGUCCUCAGAUCAGUAUGAAAAAUACAGCAACACAAAAAUGUCUUCUAAGGUAUCUCCAUCACACACACA